AAACUACUCCCUCCGUCCAAAAAUACUUGUCAUCAGAAUAAAUAAAAGAGGAUGUAUCUAAGACUCAUUUUAGUUCUAGAUACACCCAUUUUUAUUCAUUCUGAUGACAAGUAUUUUCGGACGGAGAGAAUACAUA
Triticum aestivum (bread wheat) is the source of this 136-nucleotide non-coding RNA. The record is from Rfam. Lineage: Eukaryota; Viridiplantae; Streptophyta; Magnoliopsida; Poales; Poaceae.